This is a ribosomal RNA of Daphnia magna, 71 nucleotides long. The record is from Rfam. NCBI's taxonomy places the organism in Eukaryota, Metazoa, Arthropoda, Branchiopoda, Diplostraca, Daphniidae.
GUCAACGGCCAUACCACGCAGAAAAGACCUGGUCUCGUCAGCUCCCAGAAGUUAAGCUGCGUCGGGUCCCG